GGCGUGCUGGCGUAAUGGUAACGCGUUGGUUUUCGGUCUCACCUAGAGAUUCACCAAAGAUUGCAGGUUCGAGUCCUGCGUACGUCA
This 87-nucleotide transfer RNA is filed under the name Corynespora cassiicola Philippines. It matches the Rfam family "tRNA". Rfam says of the family: Transfer RNA (tRNA) molecules are approximately 80 nucleotides in length. Lineage: Eukaryota; Fungi; Ascomycota; Dothideomycetes; Pleosporales; Corynesporascaceae. The record is from Rfam by way of RNAcentral.